AUCGCUUCUUGGCCUUUUGGCUAAGAUCAAGUGUAGUAUCUGUUCUUAUCAGUUAAAUCCUACAGAUUCCCGUUCAGAGUGGGUCAUCACUAACCAACUCUU
RNAcentral lists this small nuclear RNA (102 nucleotides) under Suricata suricatta (meerkat). RNAcentral describes it as "U2 spliceosomal RNA (ENSSSUG00005022055.1)". It matches the Rfam family "U2 spliceosomal RNA". Rfam says of the family: U2 is a small nuclear RNA (snRNA) component of the spliceosome (involved in pre-mRNA splicing). Complementary binding between U2 snRNA (in an area lying towards the 5' end but 3' to hairpin I) and the branchpoint sequence (BPS) of the intron results the bulging out of an unpaired adenosine, on the BPS, which initiates a nucleophilic attack at the intronic 5' splice site, thus starting the first of two transesterification reactions that mediate splicing. Lineage: Eukaryota; Metazoa; Chordata; Mammalia; Carnivora; Herpestidae. The record is from RNAcentral.